Molecule: ribosomal RNA, 462 nt
Filed under: Escherichia coli
Lineage: Bacteria; Pseudomonadati; Pseudomonadota; Gammaproteobacteria; Enterobacterales; Enterobacteriaceae
Description: bacterial SSU rRNA
Rfam family: Bacterial small subunit ribosomal RNA
Source: RNAcentral
AAAUUGAAGAGUUUGAUCAUGGCUCAGAUUGAACGCUGGCGGCAGGCCUAACACAUGCAAGUCGAACGGUAACAGGAAUCAGCUUGCUGAUUCGCUGACGAGUGGCGGACGGGUGAGUAAUGUCUGGGAAACUGCCUGAUGGAGGGGGAUAACUACUGGAAACGGUAGCUAAUACCGCAUAAUGUCGCAAGACCAAAGAGGGGGACCUUCGGGCCUCUUGCCAUCGGAUGUGCCCAGAUGGGAUUAGCUAGUAGGUGGGGUAACGGCUCACCUAGGCGACGAUCCCUAGCUGGUCUGAGAGGAUGACCAGCCACACUGGAACUGAGACACGGUCCAGACUCCUACGGGAGGCAGCAGUGGGGAAUAUUGCACAAUGGGCGCAAGCCUGAUGCAGCCAUGCCGCGUGUAUGAAGAAGGCCUUCGGGUUGUAAAGUACUUUCAGCGGGGAGGAAGGGAGUAAAG